RNAcentral lists this ribosomal RNA (489 nucleotides) under Antillattus maxillosus. RNAcentral's name for it is "partial 16S ribosomal RNA". The stretch from base 98 to 395 matches the Rfam family "Bacterial large subunit ribosomal RNA", at positions 2073 to 2647 of the family's 2925-position model. The record is from RNAcentral. Lineage: Eukaryota; Metazoa; Arthropoda; Arachnida; Araneae; Salticidae.
UUUUAAAUGAAGACUAGAACAAAAGAUUUAACAUUCUAAUUUAUAUACUUAAUAUAAUAAUUGAAAUUAUUCAAAAUGUAAAAAAACAUUUAUUUACUAGAAAGACGACAAGACCCUAUUGAACUUAACUUUAGUUAAACUGGGGCAGUAAAUUAAUUAAUAUUUUAAUAUCAAUAUUUAAUUAAAUAUCCUAUUCAAUAGAAUAAUUCAGUUACCAUAGGGAUAACAGCGCAAUUAUAUUUUAAAGUUCUUAUAUAAAAAAUAGAUUACGACCUCGAUGUUGAAUUAAUAACCUAAUUAAGGCAAACCUUAAAAUAAGGAAGUCUGUUCGACUUUUAAACAAUUACAUGAUUUGAGUUCAGACCGGUGUAAGCCAGGUCGGUUUCUAUCUUCUAAAUAGUUUCUUACAGUACGAAAGGACCUAAAAAUAUUUUAAUUAAAAUUAAUUGGCAGAUAAAUGCAUUAGAAUUAGAAUCUAACCAAACUUCA